Molecule: non-coding RNA, 4070 nt
Organism: Phoenix dactylifera (date palm)
Lineage: Eukaryota; Viridiplantae; Streptophyta; Magnoliopsida; Arecales; Arecaceae
Source: RefSeq, a predicted model, not a curated record
UCUCUCUGAAGCUGUUUCUCCUCAAGAAUACAAACUCUCAGUAUUGCUUCCAACAAUUUGCUUAAACUUUUACACAUCUCUUUAAGUGUCUUUCACGUACAAGAAUUUGCCUUAGCUCUAUAAAAGACAGGAAAAGACUUUGCUGAUGAAUUCUAGGAUCAGAAACUGUUUCCUUGCUUAGAUGAACAAUGGGCAGGAUUCUUGUAGUACAACUUAUUGAGGAAUGAGUUCAAUCAGCAGGUCAAUUUUUUAAUUAAUAGGUCCACCACAGAUGCAUCUAAUGAGCUCGCAAAUUUGUUCAAACAUUUUUGUAUUUCCAAUGCUCCAAUCUUUGUCCUCAAACACAGCUAUUUAAAUGGAAUCAAUUCCUUGCCUUAAGAUUAAACCAGCAAGCAACCCCCUGUCUCAACAUAGAGAUUAGAUUCCAGGUUCAGUCUGGAAAGGUGACAAUCCACUGCAUUUCCCCACUUGUCAAUCAAGUAUCAUGAUCAUAUUGCAAGGCUCGAUUAUCUCGAUCAUCAUCACUGUCAUCUAAACAACUCCAAUCAAAUAUGGUGAAAAUCGUGUCAACUAAAGAGAGGAAUUUCAAGUUGAGAAGGCUCCAUGGAAGGAUUGAAUAGAAUUUACAACCAGAUAUCAGCCUAUGCCAACCCUUUAGAAGUUGGUGUCUAAUACCACGGUGUGCUUAUUGAGGCAUUCUGAGGCCCAGCCUUGCAUUGGACCGGCCUGAACCGCAGAAGCCAGCCCCAUUGUGCGGCACGCGCGGUGCACGUGCAAGAGAAACGGCGAUGAAAAUGGACUCAUAGGGCCGCCGGACUCGGGCGGAACCCUAGGAAGUCUUCUAUCCCCUCCCUCCGUGACCCUCCGCCACCAGGCACCACCUCUCGCCUUCUCUGUUUUUCCCCCUUCAAUUCAUUGUGUCCCGUCAUUGUGCCCACCAGAAUUGCGGCCAUGAAUCUCGUUGGAGACGAGGGCCUCAGCGUCUCCCCUGGCCGCGCCGAAGCCCACCCACCAGCGAGCGGGCUGGGACUCAAAAACGACCUAGCAAAGGGCCCCCUGUUUGGCCCUAUUUUUGGUUAAUUUCCGCGCCUCUUCCCGCCGGUCGCCAUCGCCGGCCAUGGCUCACCGCCUUCUGCCGGACCUCCGGCUUUGCCGCACAAAGGAGAAGUGCUGUAGCUGCAGAGGACAUGAAUGAUUACUCUGAAGAACAAGUGUGGAAAGCAACAUGUGAAAGAAUGGGGCAUGUCGGGUGCAGAACGCUUGUGAGGCAAGGGAAAACGAAAUGCUGAUAGAAGAUAUGGCUCUAAAGGGUACAAAUUUUUUUCCAGACUGAUCAAUAGAAAAGAAAGCACACUGGUUCAAUAGACAAUUGUACAAAUUUUCGGCAUUAGCUUGAUGGUUCAAAAUAGAUUACAGUAAUACAUUUGUGCAAAAGGUCAUGGCCAUUAUUUGUGACAUCUCUGCAAUAGGUCAUGGCCAUUAUUAGCUCCUACAAGAGAUGUCACAGGUUAACAAUUCAAUUAGUUUGAUGAGACAUAGGUAGCAUUCCAAAUUGGAUACUUGUCAUCUAGACUCUAGGCAAUCUAGGCCCUGCAAGUCACUCUUCGAAGAAUUGAUGCUAGACUCUAGGCAAUCUAGGCCCUGCAAGUCACUCUUCGAAGAAUUGAUGCUAGACUCUAGGCAAUCUAGGCCCUGCAAAGAUCCAUCAAAACAUAUUUAAAAAUCAAAAGUAUUCUUAUUUACUAUGCUUGAGGAGGACAUCUCUCUCUUUUUCCACCAGACAACCUCAUAAUAUAUCAUCAUCACCAUCAUCAAGACCAUUCCACUUCCACAAAGUGCUCAAUGGAGAGCUUAGUAACUACGAUUCUCGUAAAAAGCAGAACUCAUUGUAAACUAUUUUUAACAUUAAUUUUCUCAUAUAAUUACCAGAAUCAAAAUAUUAGCUACUCUUAUUCAUUUUCAGUGAUGUUUGUUGAACUCUGAAAGUUGGCCUAGUGAACUAUGAUGAGAAAGUUAAUAUUAAAAAACACAACAUUUUGAGACUACCUUCGAUCAUUGGAUGCAUAGGUUAUCUAAUAAUCAAAAGGACAGAAGGAAACCAAAGCACAAAUGCAAGACACAAUCAAGUAUCUAAAAGUGAUUGCCAACCGCACUAAUAGAAAGGGUCCUAUUUAUUUAGCAUCCCAUUUUCCUCUGCUCAUGGAAGGCCCAUCUCCUAAUCAUGCAAAAUAUUUUUACUGUUUUCAAUCAUCUGAACUCUUGCUGCUCACUAAACAUCUAUAAAAUCCAUUAGCAUUCUUAAUGUGAUGACAAAUGCAUCAAUUGAUUAAACUCUUGAUGGGGGAUCUUCUAGAGUUUAGUAAUUUAAAGGCUGAUCAAAUCAUUAGCUUCUCUUUACACCCUUAAGUGAUGUUUAUAAAAAGGAUUCUUGGAUUUGAUGUUCCAAAAUAUCAUUGUAUACCAUCAAAAGACUGUGCAUAAAGAAUGCUCGGCUUUGAUGAUUAUGAUAGUUAAAUAAAUUCAUGAUCUAGUAGUUUCUAGACGCACAAGAAAACAAACUAAAGGAAAGCUAUGUCUCUCUGUUCCAUUGCAUAUUACUAGCCUAGGUUCAGCUUGGGAAGGCUCAUCUUACUCCACUCACCAAGUUGAUCUCAAGCACAUCAGGAGCACUCUCUUUUUAUUUUUUCUUUCUUUUUUUUUUUGUAAUUUUAAGAAGGGGAGGGAGGUUGGGUUGGUGAGGGAUGCCCAUCUAACAUUUUGAGCAUCUUCAAUGUAAUCACAAUGAUGUUGUCUAGCACAAUGCUUCUCUCCAUGGUAAGUUUUAAAACAAUUUCAGAAGCCCCACAAACCUCACUAAUGGUGUUCCACCAUUAGGACAACCUCAGCCAUCGGCUAGGUCGGCGGUGGCGAGCAAAGAACAUGAUGAUCAGGGUCUACUGAUGGAUUGCAUUCCCCUCAAAGUUGGAAAGGCAGUUUUCCAGGUGCCUUCUUUUUGGCCCUCCAUGAUGCAUCUUGUUGAUGCAGAUUGCGCCACAUGGCAACACGACGAUGCACGCCGGAUACGAUGGGCCCACAGAGAUAGGCUGAGGCCCCAGUAUUAUGUGGAAGUCCUUGUCAUGGUCACAGUGGAACAUUCAUACCCACAUGCAGCUCACAUGAAAAUACUCCAACCUCCCUGUUAGAACUUGAUCAUGAGGGAUACAGAAUUUAUUCUUUUAUCCUCCAGAAAGACUCUCUCUGAAGCUGUUUCUCCUCAAGAAUACAAACUCUCAGUAUUGCUUCCAACAAUUUGCUUAAGGCUUUACACAUCUCUUUAAGUGUCUUUCACGUACAAGAAUUUGCCUUAGCUUCAUAAAAGACAGGAAAAGACUAUGCUGAUGAAUUAUAGGAUCAGAAACUGUCUCCCUACUGCCUUUGCUUAGAUGAACAAUGGGCAGGAUUCUUGUAGUAGAACUUAUUGAGGAAUGAGUUCAAUCAGCAGCCCACUUUUCUAAUUAAUAGGUCCACCACAGAUGCAUCUAAUGAGCUCGCAAAUUUCUUCACACAUUUUUAUAUUUCCAGUGCUCCAAUCUUUGUCCUCAACCACGGCAAUUUAAAUGGAAUCAAUUCCUUACCUUAAGAAUAAACCAGCUAGCAACCCCCUGUCUCAACAUAGAGAUUAGAUUCCAGGUUCAGUCUGGAAUGGUGGCAAUCCACUGCAUUUCCCUACUUAUCAAUCAAGCAUCAUGAUCAUAUUGCAAGGUUCGAUUAUCUCCAUCAUCAUCACUGUCAUCCGAACAACUCCAAUCAAACAUGGAGUUGAGAAGGCUCCAUGGAAGGAUUGAAUAGAAUUUACAACCACAUUGCAAGAGGAGGCCUUUCUCCUUCUCCACAUUGCAACGAAAAAAAAAAAACCAUCCCCAUUUCUAGAGCUGGAUAUGGGCUGAUCUGGGCCGGGCCACACUCCUGCCCGGGCCUGACCCAAACCCGAUUGGGCCCGUCCGAAUUUGUGGAGUGGACCAUAGCCCAUUGCGUCACAAACGGCAUUGACGAGGACAUUAUAUUCCUUUCAGAGCAGUUGGUUGCUGGAC